Molecule: ribosomal RNA, 484 nt
Filed under: uncultured bacterium
Lineage: Bacteria
Description: partial 16S ribosomal RNA
Rfam family: Bacterial small subunit ribosomal RNA
Source: RNAcentral
AUUGAACGCUGGCGGCAGGCCUAACACAUGCAAGUCGAGCGGAUGAAGGGAGCUUGCUCCUGGAUUCAGCGGGGGACGGGUGAGUAAUGCAUAGGAAUCUGCCUGGUAGUGGGGGAUAAUGUCUGGAAACGGGCGCUAAUACCGCAUACGACCAGAGGGUGAAAGUGGGGGAUCUUCGGACAUCACGCUAUCAGAUGAGCCUAGGUCGGAUUAGCUAGCUGGUGGGGUAAAGGCCUACCAAGGCGACGAUCCGUAACUGGUCUGUGAGGAUGACCAGUCACACUGGAACUUAGACACGGUCCAUACUCCUACGGGAGGCAGCAGUGUGGAAUAUUGGACAAUGGGCGAAAGCCUUACCCAGCCAUGCCGCGUGUGUUAAGAAGGUCUUCGGAUUGUAAAGCACGUUAAGUUGGGAGAAAGGGCAGUAAGUUAAUACCUUGCUGUAUUGACGUUACCAACAGAAUAAGCACCGGCUAACUUCGUG